This 518-nucleotide ribosomal RNA is filed under the name uncultured bacterium. Its description in RNAcentral is "bacterial SSU rRNA". It matches the Rfam family "Bacterial small subunit ribosomal RNA", at positions 10 to 518 of the family's 1533-position model. The record is from RNAcentral.
AGUUGAUCCUGGCUCAGGAUGAACGCUAGCUACAGGCUUAACACAUGCAAGUCGAGGGGCAUCAUGGAGUUGCUUGCAAACUCUGAUGGCGACCGGCGCACGGGUGAGUAACGCGUAUCCAACCUUCCCUAUAGUAGAGGAUAGCCCGGCGAAAGUCGGAUUAAUACUCUAUGUUUUCCGUUGCAGACAUCUAAGAUGGAACAAAGGCUUGCCGCUAUAGGAUGGGGGAUGCGUCUGAUUAGGUAGUCGGCGGGGUAACGGCCCACCGAGCCAUCGAUCAGUAGGGGUUCUGAGAGGAAGGUCCCCCACAUUGGAACUGAGACACGGUCCAAACUCCUACGGGAGGCAGCAGUGAGGAAUAUUGGUCAAUGGGCGAGAGCCUGAACCAGCCAAGUAGCGUGCAGGACGACGGCCCUAUGGGUUGUAAACUGCUUUUAUGCGGGGAUAAAGUUCACUACGUGUAGUGUUUUGUAGGUACCGCAUGAAUAAGGACCGGCUAAUUCCGUGCCAGCAGCGGC